CGUGAUCAUACCGUAAACCAGUCGCAGUUAGAAAAGAAGAAAAUAAAUAAAACUUUUGUAUCAGCUGUUUUUGCGUUUUUCAAGUGAAAUAUGAAUUGUCAUCGCUUAGUCCGACAUGCAAUUCGCUCGAAAUCAACUCUUGCAAAUUUGAAAGGCAGCUUAAGGUCGAAGUCUCAUGUAGCAAAAUCUGUAAAAGUUACAAGUUCAUUUGUUGAUGAUGUGAAGGAUAUUGUCGGCAGCUCAAAUGUAUCGACAGCAGAUGCUGUGAGGGAGCAGCAUGGACAUGAUGAAUCCUAUCAUAGCGUGGAGCCACCAGAUGUUGUGGUCUUCGCAGAGUCCGUGGAUCAUGUGAGUAAAGUUGCUCGACUGUGUAAUGAUAAUGGUGUACCUCUGAUACCCUUCGGUAGUGGUACUGGACUAGAGGGCGGCAUUAAUGCUGUACAGGGUGGAUUGUGCCUAGAUGUCACCAAAAUGAACAAUGUUAUAUCUGUGAAUGCUGAAGACUUUGACUGCUGUGUUGAAUCAGGUGUGUCAAGGUUAGCGCUGAAUAACUACAUACGGGAUACAGGGCUCUGGUUCCCGAUAGACCCCGGAGCAGACGCCAGUUUAUGUGGAAUGUGUUCAACAAGUGCGUCUGGUACAAAUGCUGUACGAUAUGGUACAAUGAGAGAAAACACACUCAAUAUGGAAGUUGUACUAGCAGACGGCAGGGUAAUUGACACAGCAGGGAAGGGUAGACGAACAAAAAAAACAUCUGCUGGGUAUAAUUUGACAAAUCUGUUUGUCGGAUCAGAGGGAACUCUGGGUAUUAUCACCAAGACAACACUGAGGCUUCAUGGGAUACCAGAGGCAACUAUAUCAGCAACUUGUCACUUCCCAGAUGUACAAUCAGCUGUUGAUACAACAGUACAGGUGUUACAAUGUGGUAUACCAAUGGCUAGGAUAGAGUUUUUAGAUGAAGUUUCUAUUGAUGCAUGUAACAAAUACAGUCAUCUGGAAUUGCCUGUAGCGCCAUCUUUAUUUCUGGAAUUCCAUGGUGCAGAAUCUGCUCUAAAAGGUCAAACAGAGAUUGUAGAGGACCUGGUUAAGAUGAAUAAUGGUUCAGAUUUCAAAUGGGCAACAGAUCCAGAGGAGAGGAAUCAUUUAUGGAAGGCAAGACAUGAAAUAUUAUACGCAUGCAUGGCGCUGAGGCCGGGAUCCAAGCCAUAUUCCACAGAUGUAUGUGUUCCUGUAUCAAAUCUUCCAGAGGUCAUAGUUCGAACUAAAGAAAUGAUCAAUGAAGCUGGAAUAGUCGGUCCUAUUGUAGGUCAUGUGGGCGAUGGAAAUUUCCAUGUUUUCUAUCCAGUACAUCCAGAUGACCACGAAACUUUACGUAAAAUUAAGGACGUGUCAUAUAAAAUGGCGUUAUGGAUUCAUAUUAGGUCAUGUUGGUGAUGGUAAUUUCCACACUUUGUUUUUAUUAGACCCAAAUAACCCCAAAGAACUGGAAUUUGUCCAAGAAACAUCUGAGAAAAUUGCACUAAUUGCUCUUGAAUUGAAUGGCACAUGUACAGGGGAACAUGGGAUUGGACUAGGAAAGAGAGAGCUGCUGGUUAAAGAGAUAGGGGAAGAGGGGCUUCAAGUUAUGAAACAAAUCAAACAAGCUUUAGAUCCUAAUGGA
Molecule: RNA transcript, 1660 nt
Organism: Ruditapes philippinarum (Manila clam)
Lineage: Eukaryota; Metazoa; Mollusca; Bivalvia; Venerida; Veneridae
Gene name: probable D-lactate dehydrogenase, mitochondrial
Exons: 13
Source: RefSeq, a predicted model, not a curated record